AACGAACGCUGGCGGCAGGCCUAACACAUGCAAGUCGAACGCCCGUAGCAAUACGGGAGUGGCAGACGGGUGAGUAACGCGUGGGAAUCUACCCAGUUCUUCGGAAUAACUGAGGGAAACUUCAGCUAAUACCGGAUACGCCCCAAAGGGGGCAAAGGAUUUAUCGGAAGUUGGAGGAGCCGCGUUGGAUUAGCUAGUUGGUGGGGCUAAUGGCCUACCAAGGCGACGAUCCAUAGCUGGUCUGAGAGGAUGAUCAGCCACACUGGGACUGAGACACGGCCCAGACUCCUACGGGAGGCAGCAGUGGGGAAUAUUGGACAAUGGGCGAAAGCCUGAUCCAGCCAUGCCGCGUGAGUGAUGAAGGCCUUCGGGGUUGUAAAAGCUCUUUUAGCGGGGAAAGGAUAAUGACGGUACCCCGCAGAAAAAUGCCCCGGCUAACUUCGUGCCAAGCAGCCGCGGUAAUACGAAGGGGGUCUAGCGUUGUUCGGA
Molecule: ribosomal RNA, 489 nt
Filed under: uncultured bacterium
Lineage: Bacteria
Description: bacterial SSU rRNA
Rfam family: Bacterial small subunit ribosomal RNA
Source: RNAcentral